UCGCUAGAUGUGCCGGACUACACGUGU
This 27-nucleotide small RNA is filed under the name Bombyx mori (domestic silkworm). RNAcentral describes it as "ovarian small RNA-28818". Lineage: Eukaryota; Metazoa; Arthropoda; Insecta; Lepidoptera; Bombycidae. The record is from RNAcentral.